AAGUCGUAACAAGGUUCCCUUCUGCAGCGCAGCUCCGGAGACCUUGCACCCCGAACGGGAGGCAGCACGACGAUAAACAAAGCUCGCCGCGUGCAAGUUGGCCGCACGGUCAGCAACACGAUCGAAUUGACGGGGACCUCCUAAAGCCUGCAACACCAACCGUCCGGGGAAACUCGGGCGGGGCCCUCACGGGGUGGUAAGAGAGUGCAGGAUGAACAAUGGACGAUCCGCAGCGAAGACCCUACCGGCGAGAGCCCACGGGUACCGUUCACAGACUAAGUGAUUGUGGGCGGGGCGUCAGGCCCCGUCUAAGAUAUAGUCGGUCUUUGUCCGAAAGGGCAGUGCCUAGCGCGUCCGUAGGUGAACCUGCGGAAGGAUCAUUAAAGAAUCGCCCCGUUUUUUGAAAUGGGUUCUAUUCCCAAACCGUGUAUACAUACCUUUGUUGCUUUGGCAGGCCGCCUUUUAGGCGUCGGCUCCGGCUGACUGCGCCUGCCAGAGGACCCAAACUCGUUUGUUUAGUGAUGUCUGAGUACUAUAUAAUAGUUAAAACUUUCGACAACGGAUCUCUUGGUUCUGGCAUCGAUGAAGAACGCAGCGAAAUGCGAUAAGUAAUGUGAAUUGCAGAAUUCAGUGAAUCAUCGAAUCUUUGAACGCACAUUGCGCCCCUUGGUAUUCCGAGGGGCAUGCCUGUUCGAGCGUCAUUACAACCACUCAAGCCUUGGCUUGGUCUUGGGGUUCGCGGUCUCGCGGCCCUUAAAAUUAGUGGCGGUGCCGUCUGGCUCUAAGCGUAGUAAUUCUCUCGCUAUAGAGUCCCGGUGGUUACCUGCCAGAGCCCCCCAUUUUUUACGGUUGACCUCGGAUCAGGUAGGGAUACCCGCNGAACUUAA
Molecule: ribosomal RNA, 887 nt
Filed under: uncultured fungus
Lineage: Eukaryota; Fungi
Description: eukaryotic LSU rRNA
Rfam family: 5.8S ribosomal RNA (bases 548-701)
Source: RNAcentral